UGUCCAGGCAAUGACAUGUGGGUGCCAAG
RNAcentral lists this non-coding RNA (29 nucleotides) under Rattus norvegicus (Norway rat). Lineage: Eukaryota; Metazoa; Chordata; Mammalia; Rodentia; Muridae. The record is from RNAcentral.